This 253-nucleotide ribosomal RNA is filed under the name uncultured bacterium. RNAcentral describes it as "partial 16S ribosomal RNA". It matches the Rfam family "Bacterial small subunit ribosomal RNA", at positions 524 to 776 of the family's 1533-position model. The record is from RNAcentral.
UACAGAGGUCUCAAGCGUUGUUCGGAUUCAUUGGGCGUAAAGGGUGCGUAGGCGGCGAGGUAAGUCGGAUGUGAAAUCCCGGGGCUCAACCCUGGAACUGCAUUCGAUACUGCCUUGCUCGAGGACUCGAGAGGAGAUUGGAAUUCACGGUGUAGCAGUGAAAUGCGUAGAGAUCGUGAGGAAGACCAGUGGCGAAGGCGGGUCUCUGGACAGUUCCUGACACUGAGGCACGAAGGCCAGGGGAGCAAACGGG